Molecule: ribosomal RNA, 417 nt
Filed under: uncultured Pseudoalteromonadaceae bacterium
Lineage: Bacteria; Pseudomonadati; Pseudomonadota; Gammaproteobacteria; Alteromonadales; Pseudoalteromonadaceae
Description: bacterial SSU rRNA
Rfam family: Bacterial small subunit ribosomal RNA
Source: RNAcentral
ACUGCUAAUACCGCAUAAUUGCUACGGCACAAAGGGGGCUUCGGUUCUCGCCUUUAGAAAAGCCCAAUUGGGAUUAGGUAUUUGGUGAGGUAAAGGCUCACCAACCCAACAAUCCCUACCUGGUCUGAAAGGAUGAUCAGCCACACGGGAACUGAAACACGGUCCAAACUCCUACGGGAGGCACCAGUGGGGAAUAUUGCACAAUGGGCGCAAGCCUGAUGCACCCUUGCCCCGUGCGUGAAAAAGGCCUUCGGGUUGUAAAGAACUUUCAGUCGUGAGGAAGGGUUAGUAGUUAAUACCUGCUAGCUUUGACGUUAGCAACAAAAAAAGCACCGGCUAACUCCGUGCCAGCAGCCGCGGUAAUACGGAGGGUGCGAGCGUUAAUCGGAAUUACUGGGCGUAAAGCGUACGCAGGCG